This 745-nucleotide unclassified non-coding RNA is filed under the name Acyrthosiphon pisum (pea aphid). RNAcentral describes it as "protein DENND6B-like, transcript variant X1". The record is from RNAcentral. Lineage: Eukaryota; Metazoa; Arthropoda; Insecta; Hemiptera; Aphididae.
UAAUCGAUACAUUCGUCUGUUGCUCGUAAUAAUAUCCGAAAAAUUGUCGUUCUCUUGUUUCAAGAUCUGAAGGACGGACUCGCGGCCCUACGACGGACACACACGAGAAAACUCUUGAAGCUGUCGAGAGCUAGUGUGUCGCCUAGAACGGUGGACUCGAGUAUUCGACCACCGAUGUUCUGAGUGAGGUACCUACCUAGUCACCAUCAGUUUGUGACGAAAACUUUUGUUUGCUGCUGCCCCCGUUCCAUAUGAUUGCUUCGCUGACAUUUUCGAAUAUGGCGCCAUCGAUACGAACAUUAAACACGACAAGCCUACUCAUGAAAUGCUGUCGGAUUGGAGCCAGUGCAUUUGCGUCGUUACCUUUGACCUGGAGUUUGGCCCGGUGGUCGAGUUGGUCUACCCCAACGACAUAAAAUUAUCCGAGGAAGAACUAACCUCUGUUACCUGGCGUUUCCCAACUCCAAUUCUAGAUGCAUGGGAGUCACUCAAUUCCAUGUCAAGUAAAAGUGUUCUCAACCUUCAAAUCUUAAUCAACUCCAUAUAAGCAAUAUCGCAAAAUUUCCAGUUUUUUUACAAGCUGAUCAUCGUUGUUUGUAUAGGUUUGUUUUCAUUCGACAAAUCAAAGAUAUGUCUCUUUCACGGGGAUAUUUUCAAGAAAACCCCAGGAGCUUCCAUUUGAAGUCCUUAAUUUGGAAAGACCUCAGACUUAUACCAUAGGUUUUGGUGUACAAAGGGAUACAGA